UACUCCUACGGGAGGCAGCAGUGGGGAAUCUUGCGCAAUGGGCGAAAGCCUGACGCAGCCAUGCCGCGUGAAUGAUGAAGGUCUUAGGAUUGUAAAAUUCUUUCACCGGGGACGAUAAUGACGGUACCCGGAGAAGAAGCCCCGGCUAACUUCGUGCCAGCAGCCGCGGUAAUACGAAGGGGGCUAGCGUUGCUCGGAAUUACUGGGCGUAAAGGGAGCGUAGGCGGACAUUUAAGUCAGGGGUGAAAUCCCGGGGCUCAACCUCGGAAUUGCCUUUGAUACUGGGUGUCUUGAGUAUGAGAGAGGUGUGUGGAACUCCGAGUGUAGAGGUGAAAUUCGUAGAUAUUCGGAAGAACACCAGUGGCGAAGGCGACACACUGGCUCAUUACUGACGCUGAGGCUCGAAAGCGUGGGGAGCAAACAGGAUUAGAUACCCUGGUAGUCCACGCCGUAAACGAUGAUUGCUAGCUGUCGGGAUGCAUGCAUUUCGGUGACGCAGCUAACGCAUUAAGCAAUCCGCCUGGGGAGUACGGUCGCAAGAUUAAAACUCAAAGGAAUUGACGGGGGCCCCCACAAGCGGUGGAGCAUGUGGA
Molecule: ribosomal RNA, 593 nt
Filed under: uncultured bacterium
Lineage: Bacteria
Description: bacterial SSU rRNA
Rfam family: Bacterial small subunit ribosomal RNA
Source: RNAcentral